Molecule: ribosomal RNA, 511 nt
Filed under: uncultured marine eukaryote
Lineage: Eukaryota
Description: bacterial SSU rRNA
Rfam family: Eukaryotic small subunit ribosomal RNA
Source: RNAcentral
UUGCGGUUAAAAAGCUCGUAGUUGGAUUUCUGCUUGGGGUGGCCGAUGUGCCUUCUGGGUUACAGCCGGUUCAGCCUGAGCAUCUUCUUGGGAAUCGUGUCUGCACUUGAUUGUGUGGCACGGGUUCCAGGACUUUUACUUUGAGGAAAUUAGAGUGUUUCAAGCAGGCGUCCGCCUUGAAUACGUUAGCAUGGAAUAAUGCGACAGGACCUCGGUCCAUUUUGUUGGUUUCUUGGGUUGAGGUAAUGAUUAACAGGGAUGGUUGGGGGCAUUCGUAUUUAACUGUCAGAGGUGAAAUUCUUGGAUUUGUUAAAGACAGACUACUGCGAAAGCAUCUGCCAUGGAUGUUUUCAUUGAUCAAGAACGAAAGUUAGGGGAUCGAAGACGAUCAGAUACCGUCCUAGUCUUAACUAUAAACCAUGCCGGCUAGAGAUGAGAGGUCGUUCAAUUUGUGACACCUUUUGCAUCUUGAGAGAAAUCUAGCCCUUUGGGUUCCGGGGAGAGUAUGGUC